RNAcentral lists this transfer RNA (63 nucleotides) under Fukomys damarensis (Damara mole-rat). It matches the Rfam family "tRNA", at positions 1 to 62 of the family's 71-position model. Rfam says of the family: Transfer RNA (tRNA) molecules are approximately 80 nucleotides in length. The record is from Rfam by way of RNAcentral. Lineage: Eukaryota; Metazoa; Chordata; Mammalia; Rodentia; Bathyergidae.
GGGGAUUUAGCUCAGUGGCAUAGCACCUGCCUGGCAAGCACGAAGUAUUGGGUUCAAUCCCCG